ACUGCCGGUGAUAAACCGGAGGAAGGUGGGGACGACGUCAAGUCAUCAUGGCCCUUACGAGUAGGGCUACACACGUGCUCAAUGGCAUAUACAGAGGGCAGCGAGGCAGCGAUGUGGAGCGAAUCCCAGAAAGGAGCCUUAUUCAGGAUUGGAGUCGCAACUCGACUCCAUGAAGUCGGAAUCGCUAGUAAUCGUAGAUCAGAAUGCUACGGGGAAUACGUUCCCGGGCCUUGUACACACCGCCCGUCACACCAUGGGAGUGGGCUGCACCAGAAGUAGAUAGCUUAACCUUCGGGAGGGC
RNAcentral lists this ribosomal RNA (301 nucleotides) under marine bacterium A6. Its description in RNAcentral is "bacterial SSU rRNA". It matches the Rfam family "Bacterial small subunit ribosomal RNA", at positions 1148 to 1451 of the family's 1533-position model. The record is from RNAcentral.